This 226-nucleotide ribosomal RNA is filed under the name uncultured bacterium. Its description in RNAcentral is "partial 16S ribosomal RNA". It matches the Rfam family "Bacterial small subunit ribosomal RNA", at positions 524 to 748 of the family's 1533-position model. The record is from RNAcentral.
UACGUAGGGUGCAAGCGUUGUCCGGAAUUAUUGGGCGUAAAGAGCUCGUAGGCGGUUUGUCGCGUCUGCUGUGAAAACGCGAGGCUCAACCUCGCGCCUGCAGUGGGUACGGGCAGACUAGAGUGCGGUAGGGGAGAUUGGAAUUCCUGGUGUAGCGGUGGAAUGCGCAGAUAUCAGGAGGAACACCGAUGGCGAAGGCAGAUCUCUGGGCCGUGAACUGACGCUG